CUGGGGAAUAGGACUUGUCCAGUAACGGCGUCGUAGAAAGUGAGCGAAAGUGAUACAGUGUCAUGAUAAAUUCGCGCGAACGUUUGUCCGUCGAUACCUCUUUCGAGGCUCCGUGAAAAGAACAAGGAAAACGGUGAAUCUGGUUCCCGUGUAGAAAAAGGUGCGCGCGAGUUCGAGGAGUGAAAGAUCGAAUCGGUGUGGUUCGCGCGGACGGCCAUAACUGGUGUGUCUCUGGCAUUCGGUUUACGGUGGUGAUCGCGACGUAGCGAAAAGGGCAGAUGCCCUUACGCGGUUCGUGCUCCCAUUGGCGGGUAAUCGGCGCUGCUCACUCCGGAUCGACGUAUUCAUCUAGAUCCGGUGUUGUCGAUCGCGGCACGUUCUCGUGCUUACUAAACUACGGAAAUACAAGGACGAGCGGUCAGCCGCCCCCCGUGGGGGGCAAUCGUGUUGGAUACGACGACAGUCUUCUGGUGAUCGCCGCUGCUGCUUCUUGUUGCGGUGAUCUCUGUCUGGCAGGAACGGCAGCGGAGGCAGCGCCGUCAACAACAACGGCGACAACGAGAACGACAGCAGCGCCAUCAACAGCGCGGCCGCCAUCGUACCGAGAAGAGGAAGAGGCAGCAGCAGCAGCAGUAGCAGUAGCAGCAGCUAUUCCUUCGAGGAGAGAAAGACGAAGAAAUGCCCGUAGGUCCGCGAACGGCGACGCGAUUAAACAUGGAGGCCCCGUCCAGUUUCUAACACGGUGGCCAAGUCUCGUUUAAAAUCCGCACCACCAACGGAGCCUCUUGAGAGAGCGCUCCUCGAGUCGGCUGCCUAAUAGUCGCCUUUCCUUUGCCCCCGUGCUACUUUUCUUCGCGAGGCCCGCGAGCCCGGAGGAUGGAGCUACGCGUUGGUAAUAAGUACCGGCUCGGACGGAAAAUCGGGAGCGGCUCCUUCGGCGACAUUUAUCUAGGUACCAACAUCUCCACCGGCGAGGAAGUCGCCAUCAAGCUAGAAUGCAUAAAAACACGGCAUCCGCAGUUACACAUAGAAUCCAAGUUCUACAAGAUGAUGCAAGGCGGAGUUGGUAUACCUACUAUAAAAUGGUGUGGAUCGGAAGGUGACUACAAUGUAAUGGUAAUGGAACUGCUUGGUCCAUCGCUGGAGGAUCUGUUUAAUUUCUGUUCAAGAAGAUUUUCUUUAAAGACAGUGUUGCUUCUCGCCGAUCAGUUGAUAUGUAGAACGGACUAUAUUCACAGUCGUAAUUUCAUCCAUCGGGACAUUAAGCCAGAUAAUUUUUUGAUGGGACUGGGAAAGAAGGGAAAUCUCGUGUACAUUAUAGAUUUCGGAUUGGCUAAGAAGUAUCGCGAUGGCCGCACUCACAAGCACAUACCAUACCGAGAGAACAAGAAUCUGACGGGAACAGCCAGAUACGCGAGCAUAAAUACGCAUUUGGGAAUUGAGCAAUCACGGCGAGACGACCUUGAAUCCUUAGGGUAUGUUCUGAUGUACUUCAACAGAGGUAGCUUACCCUGGCAAGGUCUGAAAGCAGCAACCAAGAGGCAGAAGUACGAGCGUAUCUCGGAGAAAAAGAUGUCCACGCCUGUCGAGGAACUGUGCAAAGGUUUUCCUGUAGAAUUCGCGUCGUAUCUAAGGUAUUGUCGAGGGCUGCGUUUCGAGGAGAGGCCCGAUUACUCGUACCUUCGACAACUGUUCCGGACGCUGUUCCACGGACAGGGCUUCACUUAUGACUACGUGUUCGAUUGGAACAUGCUGAAAUUCGGGAACGUGAGGCAACCGACAUUGCCGUCGGCGCAACAGGCGCCGAUGCACUCGCAGCAGACGAACACGGCGCUGCCCUCCGGGACCAAUAACGAUCAGGAGCAUCGAUCAAGGCCCUACACGCGGCAGUGUCUAGCGAACGCGUCGGUGGCGACGGUGGGCCCGACCGUGGGCACGGCCUCGAAUCUGAGAAGUAUGCGGCAGAAGCGUGAGGCGUUGGACACUCUCCGCGAUCAGGACAAUCAGGACAAAAGCGAGCUCCAAGCGUCGGGCGCGGGCGGCCAGGAACGAAGGGUCAGCAUGAGGUUGCACCGUAGGGAUGCAGCCGCGGGUGAAAUGCAGCCGAAGUCCAAGUGAGUUGCUAUAACACGCCGUCCAAUACGCAUCAUCACACAUCGCCGCACUAAGCACCUAAGUAACCGAAAGCCAAC
RNAcentral lists this unclassified non-coding RNA (2192 nucleotides) under Dufourea novaeangliae. RNAcentral's name for it is "casein kinase I isoform epsilon-like, transcript variant X1". The record is from RNAcentral. Lineage: Eukaryota; Metazoa; Arthropoda; Insecta; Hymenoptera; Halictidae.